Molecule: ribosomal RNA, 503 nt
Filed under: uncultured bacterium
Lineage: Bacteria
Description: bacterial SSU rRNA
Rfam family: Bacterial small subunit ribosomal RNA
Source: RNAcentral
AGAGUUUGAUCCUGGCUCAGAUUGAACGCUGGCGGAAUGCUUUACACAUGCAAGUCGAGCGGCAGCGCGGGGCAACCUGGCGGCGAGCGGCGAACGGGUGAGUAAUGCAUCGGAACAUGUCCAUGUCGUGGGGGAUAGCCCGGCGAAAGCCGGAUUAAUACCGCAUACGCUCGAGAGAGGAAAGCCGGGGACCGCAAGGCCUGGCGCGAUUGGGUUGGCCGAUGUCCGAUUAGCUAGUUGGUGAGGUAAAGGCUUACCAAGGCGAUGAUCGGUAGCUGGUCUGAGAGGAUGAUCAGCCACACUGGGACUGAGACACGGCCCAGACUCCUACGGGAGGCAGCAGUGGGGAAUUUUGGACAAUGGGGGCAACCUUGAUCCAGCCAUUCCGCGUGAGUGAAGAAGGCCUUCGGGUUGUAAAGCUCUUUUGUCCGGAGCGAAACGGUUGUGGUGAAUAUCCACGACUACUGACGGUACCGGAAGAAUAAGCACCGGCUAACUACGUG